AGAGUUUGAUCAUGGCUCAGAUUGAACGCUGGCGGCAGGCCUAACACAUGCAAGUCGAGCGGUAGCACAGAGAGCUUGCUCUCGGGUGACGAGCGGCGGACGGGUGAGUAAUGUCUGGGAAACUGCCUGAUGGAGGGGGAUAACUACUGGAAACGGUAGCUAAUACCGCAUAAUGUCGCAAGACCAAAGUGGGGGACCUUCGGGCCUCAUGCCAUCAGAUGUGCCCAGAUGGGAUUAGCUAGUAGGUGGGGUAAUGGCUCACCUAGGCGACGAUCCCUAGCUGGUCUGAGAGGAUGACCAGCCACACUGGAACUGAGACACGGUCCAGACUCCUACGGGAGGCAGCAGUGGGGAAUAUUGCACAAUGGGCGCAAGCCUGAUGCAGCCAUGCCGCGUGUGUGAAGAAGGCCUUCGGGUUGUAAAGCACUUUCAGCGGGGAGGAAGGCGUUAAGGUUAAUAACCUUGGCGAUUGACGUUACCCGCAGAAGAAGCACCGGCUAACUCCGUGCCAGCAGCCGCGGUAAUACGGAGGGUGCAAGCGUUAAUCGGAAUUACUGGGCGUAAAGCGCACGCAGGCGGUCUGUCAAGUCGGAUGUGAAAUCCCCGGGCUCAACCUGGGAACUGCAUUCGAAACUGGCAGGCUAGAGUCUUGUAGAGGGGGGUAGAAUUCCAGGUGUAGCGGUGAAAUGCGUAGAGAUCUGGAGGAAUACCGGUGGCGAAGGCGGCCCCCUGGACAAAGACUGACGCUCAGGUGCGAAAGCGUGGGGAGCAAACAGGAUUAGAUACCCUGGUAGUCCACGCCGUAAACGAUGUCGAUUUGGAGGUUGUGCCCUUGAGGCGUGGCUUCCGGAGCUAACGCGUUAAAUCGACCGCCUGGGGAGUACGGCCGCAAGGUUAAAACUCAAAUGAAUUGACGGGGGCCCGCACAAGCGGUGGAGCAUGUGGUUUAAUUCGAUGCAACGCGAAGAACCUUACCUGGUCUUGACAUCCACAGAACUUUCCAGAGAUGGAUUGGUGCCUUCGGGAACUGUGAGACAGGUGCUGCAUGGCUGUCGUCAGCUCGUGUUGUGAAAUGUUGGGUUAAGUCCCGCAACGAGCGCAACCCUUAUCCUUUGUUGCCAGCGGUUAGGCCGGGAACUCAAAGGAGACUGCCAGUGAUAAACUGGAGGAAGGUGGGGAUGACGUCAAGUCAUCAUGGCCCUUACGACCAGGGCUACACACGUGCUACAAUGGCAUAUACAAAGAGAAGCGACCUCGCGAGAGCAAGCGGACCUCAUAAAGUAUGUCGUAGUCCGGAUUGGAGUCUGCAACUCGACUCCAUGAAGUCGGAAUCGCUAGUAAUCGUAGAUCAGAAUGCUACGGUGAAUACGUUCCCGGGCCUUGUACACACCGCCCGUCACACCAUGGGAGUGGGUUGCAAAAGAAGUAGGUAGCUUAACCUUCGGGAGGGCGCUUACCACUUUGUGAUUCAUGACUGGGGUGAAGUCGUAACAAGGUAA
RNAcentral lists this ribosomal RNA (1499 nucleotides) under Klebsiella pneumoniae. Its description in RNAcentral is "bacterial SSU rRNA". It matches the Rfam family "Bacterial small subunit ribosomal RNA". Lineage: Bacteria; Pseudomonadati; Pseudomonadota; Gammaproteobacteria; Enterobacterales; Enterobacteriaceae. The record is from RNAcentral.